Molecule: non-coding RNA, 66 nt
Organism: Potamilus streckersoni
Lineage: Eukaryota; Metazoa; Mollusca; Bivalvia; Unionida; Unionidae
Source: the annotation of a GenBank genome assembly
GUGGCCUAGUGGUUAGAGCGCCCACCUCGAAUGCGGGAGGUUGAUGGUUCAACCCCUGUUAAGUCA